CUUGGUUGCUUUGUCCUGGAUCGAUUUUUCCUACUGCAGGUUUAGCAUUCAGGUUUAAUUGUUCAGCAUGGAUUGCAGUGAUAGUUUGGUCUAUGACAGAUUUAUGGUCUAUUUUACCUAGCACGGGUUUAGUAUGAAGAUUAGUUCUUAAUCGUGUAUGGUGAUUUCCCUGUUGUAUUUCGGUUGGGUUGUUCCUUACAUGACGUCUUCCUUAUUAUGGCACUAAAAGUAUAUUAUCUACAAUAUAAAUUAGCACUUUGAGUGGUGGUUAUCACUUUCUGCUUCAGCCAUUCGUGCCAGUGUCGCUAAAAAUGUACUCUGCAAGGUGCAAACAUAUAUAUCCACUUUUUUAGCAGGAGAAGGAAGAAUAGGUGCUGGGUAGCAGGAACUUAUACAGAAUUUAUAGGAAAAUAGCAGGGGCCUUGGAACAUACUGACUCCUCUAAUACUGGGAAACUACUUGCAAUCAGGUCUAUAGAAUAGUUCUCUAGGACGGACAUGUGUAAAGCACAACUGCGGAAAAAAUCAAAGCCAAUGGUAAUGCAUUUCAUUUAGUUCAAUUGGCAAACCUAUUAGAGUAUAGACAAAAUAGAUUGACUCUUAUGAGGCUACAAAGUUACUCAAGUAUGCUGCCAAAAAAGUGUUGACCGGUUCAUAAUAUUUGCACAGUAAAAUGCAACUUGCCUUAUCUUGCAUGCUUUGGAAUGCUUAUUUAUCCUUUUCGAGAAAGAUUUGUACUCCUUUGUAUUCUUCGAUUUAUUUCAUUCAGGUUUUAUUCAAAAGUCAAUUGUGCCAUAGGUGAUUCCUAUAUGACAUAAAGAACCAUAGGUCGUCCGGACUCUUGGGAUAUAUAGGGGAUGAGGCGCCGAUGACUCAUAGGAGACACACCGCUAUUGUUGUUCUGCGGGGAGAGCUUGCUAAGCAGGUUGAUGCGGAUGAACUGAUUUGUAGGAGUAACAUGGAGCCUCUCAUACUGGGCUGCACUUUCAAGCUGCAGGACUGUAUGUUCUACCGGAUUUACUAAUAUCUUUUCUAUUUUGUUUUAAUCAGUUUAGUCUCUACUACUUUAAAGGUAUUGACCUGUGAGUUCAUUGUUUGUAAAAAUGCUCCUUAGUAUGUUUUCGUUAUGUGCACCAUGCUUAAUUUGACCCCAAGAUACGGCUCGAUGAUUUGUAUUAAUCAUGUGGAUCCACAUGUUUCUGCCCUUUUGAAAUAGUGGUUGUUGUGAAUUAGAUUUCUUUAGAUAUUUUCGGCAUGUGUUACUAUGCCUGUCUGUGGUAUUGUUACAUGUUCUGUUUAAUUCUUGAAGGUCAUUGGGCCUGACUACAUGGUUGAACGCCUCGCGCAAAAGGGUCAUCGCCUUGCUGCACUUAAUGUUGAAAAUUCUUCUAUGGACUUUCUUGCAGAGCUCAUUCGAAAAGAGUCCAUGGUUAGGAUGUUCAGGUGUAGGAUGAAAGUGCAGGCCAUUGCAAGCAAUCAGAAUUGGUAGUUUUGGUCAUGUGAUCGGGAGCGCCAUUCCUAGGUGUCGUCAUCUGUUUGAUGAAUUUUUCCUUGUUCGUUGUCUAUGGUUUGCAAUUCUCAUAAUUAUUGUUGUGGUUUUGAGGUACACGCUUUGUGUGAAGGCGGGAGAUGGUGAAUCGGUGGUUGGCAUUGCAUGCUUCUUUUUGGAGAUGUUGCCACGGAUUUAAUAGGCAAGCCCCCUGAUGUACUCAUCAAUGAGUUCUUAGCGAGUACUCCCUUCAGAUAUCUUGAGGCUGGUUGGAAGGAGCUAUGUUGUGGAUGUGGUGGUGUCUCGCUUCUCUAUUCGCUGAGAAAUCAUUAAUUUCCAAGUCGCCAAGUUUUACACGGAGGGUGGUUCACAAAACAUGGAAUUUGUAUCAGCAUGCUCUUCUUCAGGUGUGUCACAGCAAGACUAGGUGACGCCAUCUGAAACACAUGUGGUCGCCUCGCCCAAGCAUCUUGC
Molecule: long non-coding RNA, 1962 nt
Organism: Lolium rigidum
Lineage: Eukaryota; Viridiplantae; Streptophyta; Magnoliopsida; Poales; Poaceae
Exons: 4
Source: RefSeq, a predicted model, not a curated record